GCUCCCGUAGCUCAGCGGAUAGAGCAUCUGCCUUCUAAGCAGAGGGUCGCAGGUUCGAGUCCUGCCGGGGGCACCA
RNAcentral lists this transfer RNA (76 nucleotides) under Acidobacteriota bacterium. RNAcentral's name for it is "Acidobacteria bacterium tRNA-Arg". It matches the Rfam family "tRNA". Rfam says of the family: Transfer RNA (tRNA) molecules are approximately 80 nucleotides in length. Their secondary structure includes four short double-helical elements and three loops (D, anti-codon, and T loops). RNAcentral also lists the same sequence under 1 other name. The record is from RNAcentral. Lineage: Bacteria; Pseudomonadati; Acidobacteriota.